RNAcentral lists this ribosomal RNA (408 nucleotides) under uncultured bacterium. RNAcentral's name for it is "partial 16S ribosomal RNA". It matches the Rfam family "Bacterial small subunit ribosomal RNA", at positions 28 to 526 of the family's 1533-position model. The record is from RNAcentral.
GACGAACGCUGGCGGCGUGCUUAACACAUGCAAGUCGAACGAAGUGGCGAAGGGGUGAGUAACGCGUAAUCAACCUGCCCUUCAGAGGGGGACAACAGUUGGAAACGACGGCUAAUAACGCAUACUGCAGGAAGGGAUAGCGUCUGAGUAGGUAGUUGGAGGGGCAACGGCCAACCAAGGCGAUGAGCAAUAGCCGGUCUGAGAGUCAGAACGGCCAACUUGGGACUGAGACACGGCCCAGACUCCUACGGGAGGCAGAAGUGGGGAAUCUUCCGGAAUGGACGAAAGUCUGACGGAGCAACUCCGCGUGAGUGAUGACGGUCUUCGGGUUGUAAAGCUCUGUUAAUCGGGACGCGGUACCGGAAUAGAAAGCCACGGCUAACUACGUGCCAGCAGCCGCGGUAAUUC